CUCUGCUGGUGGAUGGACUCUCGUUCCGUUUGGUUGCCCAACUAUCCCGAGUUUGAUAUCUUCUCUACCUCCUUGGGAUGUGUUGGAUUCCAUAUCAGAAACAAACUGGUUUGUAGUACCUUCUAUAACGAAAGUCGGUAAAUCGUUAGAUCUCAUGUUCAUAUUCACUGUCAUUAGGCUGAGGUGAAAGAAGAAAUGGGUAAGUCCCAUCUUCAUCUGAAGCUAUCUGCCUCAUCUCUAAAGAUUUAAUCAGUUGUGUUGCUUCUGCUAUGAGCUUUUUACUCUCUAACAACGAUGCUUGAGCAACCGGGCUUUUCAAAGCAGCAAUCUCGAGGACUUUCGCAGCUUUCUCAGCUUCCGAGAUCAAAAGCCUGAGGCGAGAAAAGCAUCCAUCUUCUUUGAUUCUUCCGCCACUCGUUUUGCUCUGAUGCUUUUGAUCAUUUCCAGUUUUGAACUUGCCAAAGGAUCUUUAUACGCAGGAGUCUUCUUUCUAGGUUCUGCAUCGCUCCUUGGUCUUCUACGACGCCUCUCGACACCAACAGGUAUACCGUGAUAUUUUGCCAAGCCGGAGCAAACUCUUUCACGUGACUAGACAACUUACUGGAUCAGCCCAUUUAGCAGCUAUUGCUU
Molecule: long non-coding RNA, 630 nt
Organism: Arabidopsis thaliana (thale cress)
Lineage: Eukaryota; Viridiplantae; Streptophyta; Magnoliopsida; Brassicales; Brassicaceae
Product: other RNA
Exons: 5
Source: RefSeq